CAUUCCUCUCUCUCUCUAGCACUUUCUCUCUCUACAUCGAUAUCUCGGCAUUAUCGCUUCUUCAACUGGAAAACCUCGUAUUCUCGCCGGAAGACCGCUUGUUCGCCGGCUAACUGGAGAAUUGGCCCGCACUGUUACUGUUUCGUUGAUUUGUUUCUUAUUUUCUAUCUAAUCGGUGGUCAUGACUUGAUCAGUUGAAUCUCCGAUCUCUGAGUCGGACUCGGUACCACGUAGUGCACGAGAAUGUGGCGAAAUUGAGUGCGUGUUUGUGG
This 272-nucleotide long non-coding RNA is filed under the name Panax ginseng (ginseng). RNAcentral's name for it is "long non-coding RNA (PGIN_LNC000870)". The record is from RNAcentral. Lineage: Eukaryota; Viridiplantae; Streptophyta; Magnoliopsida; Apiales; Araliaceae.